This 488-nucleotide ribosomal RNA is filed under the name uncultured bacterium. Its description in RNAcentral is "partial 16S ribosomal RNA". It matches the Rfam family "Bacterial small subunit ribosomal RNA", at positions 30 to 506 of the family's 1533-position model. The record is from RNAcentral.
AUUGAACGCUGGCGGCAGGCCUAACACAUGCAAGUCGAACGGUAACAGGAAGCAGCUUGCUGCUUCGCUGACGAGUGGCGGACGGGUGAGUAAUGUCUGGGAAGCUGCCUGAUGAGGGGGAUAACUACUGGAAACGGUAGCUAAUACCGCAUAAUGUCGCAAGACCAAAGAGGGGGACCUUCGGGCCUCUUGCCAUCGGAUGUGCCCAGAUGGGAUUAGCUUGUUGGUGGGGUAACGGCUCACCAAGGCGACGAUCCCUAGCUGGUCUGAGAGGAUGACCAGCCACACUGGAACUGAGACACGGUCCAGACUCCUACGGGAGGCAGCAGUGGGGAAUAUGGCACAAUGGGCGCAAGCCUGAUGCAGCCAUGCCGCGUGUAUGAAGAAGGCCUUCGGGUUGUAAAGUACUUUCAGCGGGGAGGAAGGGAGUAAAGUUAAUACCUUUGCUCAUUGACGUUACCCGCAGAAGAAGCACCGGCUAACUCCGU